GAUGAAGGGCUUUGAGGGUCCUUUGAGGGGUCAAGAUGGUAAGGGCCCACGGUGGAUGCCUCGGCACCCGAGCCGAUGAAGGACGUGGCUACCUGCGAUAAGCCAGGGGGAGCCGGUAGCGGGCGUGGAUCCCUGGAUGUCCGAAUGGGGGAACCCGGCCGGCGGGAACGCCGGUCACCGCGCUUUUGCGCGGGGGGAACCUGGGGAACUGAAACAUCUCAGUACCCAGAGGAGAGGAAAGAGAAAUCGACUCCCUGAGUAGCGGCGAGCGAAAGGGGACCAGCCUAAACCGUCCGGCUUGUCCGGGCGGGGUCGUGGGGCCCUCGGACACCGAAUCCUUAGCCUAGCCGAAGCUGUUGGGAAGCAGCGCCAGAGAGGGUGAAAGCCCCGUAGGCGAAAGGUGGGGGGAUAGGUGAGGGUACCCGAGUACCCCGUGGUUCGUGGAGCCAUGGGGGAAUCUGGGCGGACCACCGCCUAAGGCUAAGUACUCCGGGUGACCGAUAGCGCACCAGUACCGUGAGGGAAAGGUGAAAAGAACCCCGGGAGGGGAGUGAAAUAGAGCCUGAAACCGUGGGCUUACAAGCAGUCACGGCCCCGCAAGGGGUUGUGGCGUGCCUAUUGAAGCAUGAGCCGGCGACUCACGGUCGUGGGCGAGCUUAAGCCGUUGAGGCGGAGGCGUAGGGAAACCGAGUCCGAACAGGGCGCAAGCGGGCCGCACGCGGCCCGCAAAGUCCGCGGCCGUGGACCCGAAACCGGGCGAGCUAGCCCUGGCCAGGGUGAAGCUGGGGUGAAACCCAGUGGAGGCCCGAACCGGUGGGGGAUGCAAACCCCUCGGAUGAGCUGGGGCUAGGAGUGAAAAGCUAACCGAGCCCGGAGAUAGCUGGUUCUCCCCGAAAUGACUUUAGGGUCAGCCUCAGGCGCUGACUGGGGCCUGUAGAGCACUGAUAGGGCUAGGGGGCCCACCAGCCUACCAAACCCUGUCAAACUCCGAAGGGUCCCAGGUGGAGCCUGGGAGUGAGGGCGCGAGCGAUAACGUCCGCGUCCGAGCGCGGGAACAACCGAGACCGCCAGCUAAGGCCCCCAAGUCUGGGCUAAGUGGUAAAGGAUGUGGCGCCGCGAAGACAGCCAGGAGGUUGGCUUAGAAGCAGCCAUCCUUUAAAGAGUGCGUAAUAGCUCACUGGUCGAGUGGCGCCGCGCCGAAAAUGAUCGGGGCUUAAGCCCAGCGCCGAAGCUGCGGGUCUGGGGGAUGACCCCAGACGGUAGGGGAGCGUUCCCGAUGCCGAUGAAGGCCGACCCGCGAGGGCGGCUGGAGGUAAGGGAAGUGCGAAUGCCGGCAUGAGUAACGAUAAAGAGGGUGAGAAUCCCUCUCGCCGUAAGCCCAAGGGUUCCUACGCAAUGGUCGUCAGCGUAGGGUUAGGCGGGACCUAAGGUGAAGCCGAAAGGCGUAGCCGAAGGGCAGCCGGUUAAUAUUCCGGCCCUUCCCGCAGGUGCGAUGGGGGGACGCUCUAGGCUAGGGGGACCGGAGCCAUGGACGAGCCCGGCCAGAAGCGCAGGGUGGGAGGUAGGCAAAUCCGCCUCCCAACAAGCUCUGCGUGGUGGGGAAGCCCGUACGGGUGACAACCCCCCGAAGCCAGGGAGCCAAGAAAAGCCUCUAAGCACAACCUGCGGGAACCCGUACCGCAAACCGACACAGGUGGGCGGGUGCAAGAGCACUCAGGCGCGCGGGAGAACCCUCGCCAAGGAACUCUGCAAGUUGGCCCCGUAACUUCGGGAGAAGGGGUGCUCCCUGGGGUGAUGAGCCCCGGGGAGCCGCAGUGAACAGGCUCUGGCGACUGUUUACCAAAAACACAGCUCUCUGCGAACUCGUAAGAGGAGGUAUAGGGAGCGACGCUUGCCCGGUGCCGGAAGGUCAAGGGGAGGGGUGCAAGCCCCGAACCGAAGCCCCGGUGAACGGCGGCCGUAACUAUAACGGUCCUAAGGUAGCGAAAUUCCUUGUCGGGUAAGUUCCGACCUGCACGAAAAGCGUAACGACCGGAGCGCUGUCUCGGCGAGGGACCCGGUGAAAUUGAACUGGCUGUGAAGAUGCGGCCUACCCGUGGCAGGACGAAAAGACCCCGUGGAGCUUUACUGCAGCCUGGUGUUGGCUCUUGGUCGCGCCUGCGUAGGAUAGGUGGGAGCCUGUGAACCCCCGCUCCGGGUGGGGGGAGGCGCCGGUGAAAUACCACCCUGGCGCGGCUGGGGGCCUAACCCUCGGAUGGGGGGACAGCGCUUGGCGGGCAGUUUGACUGGGGCGGUCGCCUCCUAAAAGGUAACGGAGGCGCCCAAAGGUCCCCUCAGGCGGGACGGAAAUCCGCCGGAGAGCGCAAGGGUAGAAGGGGGCCUGACUGCGAGGCCUGCAAGCCGAGCAGGGGCGAAAGCCGGGCCUAGUGAACCGGUGGUCCCGUGUGGAAGGGCCAUCGAUCAACGGAUAAAAGUUACCCCGGGGAUAACAGGCUGAUCUCCCCCGAGCGACUCAGCGGCGGGGAGGUUUGGCACCUCGAUGUCGGCUCGUCGCAUCCUGGGGCUGAAGAAGGUCCCAAGGGUUGGGCUGUUCGCCCAUUAAAGCGGCACGCGAGCUGGGUUCAGAACGUCGUGAGACAGUUCGGUCUCUAUCCGCCACGGGCGCAGGAGGCUUGAGGGGGGCUCUUCCUAGUACGAGAGGACCGGAAGGGACGCACCUCUGGUUUCCCAGCUGUCCCUCCAGGGGCAUAAGCUGGGUAGCCAUGUGCGGAAGGGAUAACCGCUGAAAGCAUCUAAGCGGGAAGCCCGCCCCAAGAUGAGGCCUCCCACGGCGUCAAGCCGGUAAGGACCCGGGAAGACUACCCGGUGGAUGGGCCGGGGGUGUAAGCGCCGCGAGGCGUUGAGCCGACCGGUCCCAAUCGUCCGAGGUCUUGACCCCUCC
Molecule: ribosomal RNA, 2941 nt
Filed under: Thermus parvatiensis
Lineage: Bacteria; Thermotogati; Deinococcota; Deinococci; Thermales; Thermaceae
Description: bacterial LSU rRNA
Rfam family: Bacterial large subunit ribosomal RNA
Source: RNAcentral